RNAcentral lists this ribosomal RNA (301 nucleotides) under uncultured bacterium. Its description in RNAcentral is "partial 16S ribosomal RNA". It matches the Rfam family "Bacterial small subunit ribosomal RNA", at positions 509 to 808 of the family's 1533-position model. The record is from RNAcentral.
CAGCAGCCACGGUAAUACGUAGGGUGCGAGCGUUAAUCGGAAUUACUGGGCGUAAAGCGUGCGCAGGCGGUUGUGUAAGACAGGUGUGAAAUCCCCGGGCUUAACCUGGGAACUGCAUUUGUGACUGGCAAGCUAGAGUGUGGCAGAGGGGGGUGGAAUUCCGCGUGUAGCAGUGAAAUGCGUAGAUAUGCGGAGGAACACCGAUGGCGAAGGCAGCCCCCUGGGCCAACACUGACGCUCAUGCACGAAAGCGUGGGGAGCAAACAGGAUUAGAUACCCCCGUAGUCCCGUCUCUUAUACA